Small nuclear RNA from Marmota flaviventris (yellow-bellied marmot), 107 nucleotides. Lineage: Eukaryota; Metazoa; Chordata; Mammalia; Rodentia; Sciuridae. The record is from RefSeq and is a predicted model, not a curated record.
CUGCUCACUUCAACAGCACAUAUACUAAAAUUGAAACAAUACAGAGAAGAUUAGCAUGGCACCUAUGCAAGGAUAACAUGCAAAUUGGUGAAGUGUUCCAUAUUUUU